UACGGAGGGGGCAAGCGUUGUUCGGAAUUACUGGGCGUAAAGGGCGCGUAGGCGGCCCGCUAAGUCGAACGUGAAAUCCCCGGGCUCAACCCGGGAACUGCGUCCGAUACUGGUGGGCUUGAAUCCGGGAGAGGGAUGCGGAAUUCCAGGUGUAGCGGUGGAAUGCGUAGAGAUCGGGAAGAACAUCGGUGGCGAAGGCGGCCAGCUGGGCCAUUGCUGACGCUGAUGCGCGACAGCGUGGGGAGCAAACAGG
This 253-nucleotide ribosomal RNA is filed under the name uncultured bacterium. RNAcentral's name for it is "partial 16S ribosomal RNA". It matches the Rfam family "Bacterial small subunit ribosomal RNA", at positions 524 to 776 of the family's 1533-position model. The record is from RNAcentral.